This 327-nucleotide long non-coding RNA is filed under the name Physcomitrium patens. Its description in RNAcentral is "long non-coding RNA (PPAT_LNC004506)". The record is from RNAcentral. Lineage: Eukaryota; Viridiplantae; Streptophyta; Bryopsida; Funariales; Funariaceae.
AUAUUUAUAUUUGCAAAUAGAAUCAAAUACUAAUCUAUAAAAAAAUUAUACAUCUUACAAAUUAUUUUUAUUUUAUCUCUUUCUACACAAAUAUGAAUUGAAAUUUAAAUUCAAUUUAUAGUCUGAACAUCAACAAUAAACUGCCACCAUAUUUAAUCUCUUUGAACAUGCAUAUAGUCCUACACCUGGCUUCUUCAAUUUCCAUGACUAUUGAUUGUAUGAUAAUUUUUAUUAUUCUAAAGCCUUUGCUCAACAUACAUUCAAAAGCACCUCGCUAAUCAAGAGUGUUGCUUGAGAGUCAAAUUGCAAUUUAAUUUGCUAACUUUU